Molecule: RNA transcript, 7043 nt
Organism: Acanthochromis polyacanthus (spiny chromis)
Lineage: Eukaryota; Metazoa; Chordata; Actinopteri; Pomacentridae
Exons: 5
Source: RefSeq, a predicted model, not a curated record
CUGUAAAAAAAAUCCGUAAAAUAACGGACAUAUUUCAUGUGAAAUUGUGACGGAACCGGUCUGUUAAAUACAAUACAGAACAUUUUCCGUUUCGCAAAGCAUCAUGGGUAGUUUUUCCCUCAGCACCUGCACAGCGUCGGCCAUUACUCGCCUCGGCUCGUCUGCCUGUUUGCCCGCCUGCUCACACACCCUGGCUUUUAGCGUCACAUUGGAGGAGAAAGGUUGGUUGUGUGUUUAAUGAACUGGAAUCGAGUCCAAUUUCUCAAACAAAAUAUAAAUGUUGAGUUAAUUUUCCAUUUAUUUGUGUCUGGCUGGUGGGCUGCACAGCGGUGUAGUGGUUAGCACUUUCGCCUUGCAGCAAGAAGAUCUCGGUUCGAAUCCCAGGUUGGGCCUGGGAUCUUUCUGCAUGGAGUUUGCAUGUUCUCCCUGUGCAUGCGUGGGUUUUCUCCGGGUACUCCGGCUUCCUCCCACAGUCCAAAAAUAUGCUGAGGUUCAUUGGUUACUCUAAAUUGCCCGUAGGUGUGAGUGUGAUUGUUAGUCUGUAUAUGUAGCCCUGUGACAGACCAGCGACCUGUCCAGGGUGUCCCCUGCCUUCGCUCAAGUCAGCUGGGAUAGGCUCCAGCACCCCCCGCGACCCUAAUGAGGAUAAAGCGGUGUAUAGAGGAUGGAUGGAUGUGUCUGGCUGGCGGGCGGGCUUUCUGUCCUAGCUCCCCUUGCUAGUCAGACAGCCCCCGUUCCCUCGGUGAAAAGUAAGAUAAUUUAUCGUUGGUUCAUUUUAUUUUAGGGGUUAGUGCAAUGAGUUAUUUUUUAAAAAAUAUAUAAAGUAUAUGGAAGAGUGUUAAUGUUAAAAUGAUAGCUUAGUGGCAUCCGAGCCGAGCAGUUAGCAUGCUAUGUAGUAGUAGUAGCAGCCAGUAGCCGCUCGCUUCGUUAGCAUUAGCUGGCGCGAUUUAGGACCAACAAGACCAUUGUGUCCCCCCUGGCCCCCUCACACACUAAACUGGUUUUGUUGGUCAGUUGGUAGUCUAGUAAGUAUCGUGUCUUGAAUGUGUGCGGUAUUGUUAAACGUGGGUCAUUAAUGAGUCAUUAGUCCGUGUUAGCCCGCUAAUGGGCGCGCGGUCUCCCCAGACUUCCCAUAUCUUUCCGGUGUAGCUGCACCGCCCGCGUGCGCCGAGCCGUGCAAGAAAUCAAUGUCAUACGGCAGAGUAAACAUUUUUGCAUUUGUUAGCUUCGUGUGGUUGUCUACUUUAGUCAGGGGCUCAGUGUGUUUCAUCCAGUCUGAAGCUAUGUUGGGUUCACGGAUCACUCUGUGGUGGCUUUGUUUGCAUUUGGAGGUGCGUGUGUGUCAUUUUGCUUGAUCGUCGGCGAAACGCGUCAUAAUACCUGGCGUGCUUAUGCUAUUUUGAAGGCUAGAUGUCUAUCUCUUCUUAAACAUGUUGGCUUGUAACAUUUGUGGCUUUAAUGCCAAAUCUUCGACGGAUUACUUGAAACACUGCAGAGCACACAGAAAUAAUAGUAAUGUGUUUUUUUUAUGUGGCCACAGAGAUUGUGGAAGGAAGCUUAGCACAUACAAUAGCCUUGCUGUGCAUAUGGCACGAACACAUGUAGACAGAAGGAGCACUCAAACAUGGAACCGCAAUGUGUCUGUACAGUUAAAGUGCUCAUUCAUUUUUUGCAGCAGUGAAUAUGGUGAUCUGAAAAGUCUUAGGUGUCAUAUGAGUGGUCAUAUAGAAGAGGGUCUGACUGUAAUGUGUCCCUUUGAUAGAUGCUCUAAGACAUUUAAUGUUAAGUCAUCUUUUUUAUCACAUCUGUCCAGAUACCAUAAAGGGUGGGAUGUUACCAAGAUAGCCCCUGUACAUUUAUGUGAAGUCACAGAACAGUCUUUGCAAGGUGAAGGAUCACACAUAGAACCUGAAGAACCUGAAAGUUUUAAUGUAGAUACAGGACACAGUGAUAAUUUUGAAAGUGAUCAACAGAAAGACAAUUACACAGAGAGUCUUGCUCAGUUUUACUUGGGUUUGCAGGCUAAAUAUUUGGUCCCAGCCUCAACAAUAACAGAAAUGGUAAAUGAAAUGAGAACUCUCAGUGAUAUUCAACAGGAAUAUACUAUGGAUGUGCUAGCUCGUGAACUUGAGCAGUAUGGUGUUCCAAAGGAGACAUUAACAUGUCUUGGGAAUAGAUUAUAUGAGCAGAGCCCUAUGCACAAGGCUUUACAUGAAAACGGUCCUUUAACUACACAGCACAGAAGACUGAAAUAUUACAAGGCACACUAUGACUAUGUUGAGCCUGUUGAGGUCUAUCUCGGUCGCAAUAGCAAUGGGGAGAAGAGACAUUAUCAUUACAUUCCAGUGCUGGAAACCCUCAGAGUAAUUCUUAAACAGCGAGGUAUAGAGCCGCACAGUUCUAGUACUAAUGUUGAAGAUGAUGUCCUCUCUGAUGUCAAUGAUGGGUGGGCUAUCAAAAAUAAUGCCAUGUUUUCCUCAGACCCAGAUUGUUUAAAGGUCAUGCUUUUUCAGGAUGCGUUUGAAGUCGCUAAUCCGUUGGGGUCUGCCAAGACAAAGCAUAAAGUUUUAGGUGUCUACUUCACUCUAGGAAAUUUUCAUCCACAUCAGCGAUCAACUGUUGAUCAAAUACAGUUGGCAUUACUCUGUGCAGAGAAAGAUUGUAAAUAUUUUGGAAUUGAUAAGGUUUUCAAUAAGCUUGUGUCAGACUUGUGUAUGCUGGAGGAAAAGGGCAUAUCUUUUGGUGGAAAGAUAUAUAAGGGCACUGUUGCAUGCACAAUGGGAGACAAUCUGGGUUCCCACAUGAUUGGUGGCUUCACAGAAAAUUUCAGCUCAGCAGAAUAUUUCUGUAGAUACUGUUUAGCAACAAAAAAGGAAUUUCAGUCUAAUCCUCUCACAGUUUUCACUCAUAGAAAUCCAGCUGAUUACAAAGAGACUGUGCAGCUUCUGGAAAGUAACGAUGAUAUAGUCACUCAUCAUGGUGUGAAACGUAACAGUGUUUUCAACAAACUGUCUAACUUCCAUGUCUGUCAACCAGGGCUACCUCCGUGUCUGGCACAUGACACGUUCGAAGGGGUUGUUGAUUAUGAUUUAGCAAUUUGCUUGAAGUUCUUAAUCAAAACAGAAAAGUGGUUCAGCUAUGAGCUUCUUAAUGAAAGACUCCACUCAUUCCCCAGUGAAACCAGUGACAAGCUCAAUAUGAUUCCCACUACAGGAGCAAGGCUUGGAGGGCAUGCAGCCCAAAACAGGUGGCUUUUGAGAUUCUUGCCUAUUUUAGUGCAUGACAGAAUUAAAGAUGCUGACAAUGCAGUAUGGGAACUGGUACUACUUCUUAGAGAGCUUGUUGAAUUUGUGUGUGCACCUCGGCUCUCAGAGUCACAGAUUGCUUUUAUGAAGGGACUGAUUGAACUUUAUGUGGAGUUGAGGCAAGAGCUAUUCCCAAGAAUUCCACUUAGACCGAAACAUCACUAUCUGCUGCACUAUGCAGACUUGACUUUACAAUUUGGUCCACUCAUACAUACAUGGACUAUGCGCUUUGAAUCAAAGCAUUCUUAUUUUAAAAGGUGCAUCAGGGCAAGCAAAAACUUCAUAAAUGUAACAAAGUCUCUGGCUGAUCGACACCAGUUGUUUCAGGCUUAUCAGUCUACUGGUACUUUGUUUGGGCCCCAGGUUCAUGUCUCGGACUCUACACGGUUCUACCCAGAGCUCUAUCAGCAGAACAUAAAGACAGUGGUUGAAGAAUUUGAUUUGAACUCAAGUAACUCAGUUGUCACAGAGAAGGUCCAGGUUAAAGGCACUACAUAUGCAAAUGGUAUGCUUGUCUUACUGAGAUAUACCAAAGGACAACUACAGUUAGGACAAAUAGCAAGCAUUUUGUAAAAAAUGAAACUACUGUCCUACUUUUGCUUCGAGGGAAAACUGCCAGCUGGAUACCUGAGCUUGGACUCUAUGGAGUUCAUGAAAAAGAUUCUGACCAGUUCACCUGCCGUAAUCUGAGCACACUUGAUGAUUAUUAUCCACUUUCUUCUUACCAGAGAGGUGCAAGGUGGCUGAUUCCACUUAAACACACACCAACAUGGAAUUUGUAAAAGAUGUAGUUAAGAAAGCCAUGCCAUCACUCGGUAGCGACCAGAUGGAUGCCCUCAUGGCUAGACUGGAGGAAUUAGGAGUUCUAUCGGUAGAUGACCUGGCCCUUGUGGAUGCUGUGGAGAUUAAAGACACUCUGCCACUCAUUCAGUGCAAACGAUUCGUCAGAGCUAUCCAAGGUUUACAAGAAGAUUCACAAGCUGCACCACAGUUCACAAGCCCUGGACGCUCUACACCUGGACGCUCUACACCUGGACGCUCUACACCUGGACGCUCUACACCUGGACGCUCUACACCUGGCCCCUCUUCACCUGGCCCCUCUUCACCUGGCCCCUCUUCACCUGGAUGCUCAUCUACACCUCAGCGAAAGCAUUUUCAUCUGCCCCCAACAUCACUUGAAACGGCAGACUCCCCAACCCAUGAGACUUAUUCUGUACCAUGGCACAAAAUUUCCUCUAAAGUCAUGGAUUACCUGCAUAAAAAGAAGUACAUAAUGGGGAAACACAGGAGAGAAAUAGUUCGCAUAAUUGCUGAUGAUUACCUCCAUAAACACCCUGGAAGACCUGGUAGACAAAAGCUGAGGGAAAUCGCAAGUAUGAUUGUAGGGCAAUAUCCUGCCUCCUUCAAGCUGACAGAGCCAUUUGGAAAUAAACCAUUUGCAAAAGAUGGUUCAGAAACUCUCUUUCGCCAGCUGGAACACAGAGUUGAAAAUAUGGCAAGGCCACAGGGCUCACAGAAGACACGAGCAGCAGAUGAAGGUCCAACAAAGAGAAAGUCCAGAAGUUCAGCGCGGUAUGGAUGUGUGGAGUGGGAUCCUGUCAUUGAGGAGACAGUGUCGAGGGAAGACCUGCUGUCUAAACAAGAAGAAUUGAAACGUGCCUUCGAAACCAGUGAUCUUCAGGAGUCAUCGGUUCGAAAAUUGAUGAGUGAGACAUAUCCCCUCCAGCGUGAAACCAUCAACAAUGAAACAGAUGUUCGUGUCAUGAAGGACGAGUGGCCGUUCCUGUUUGAUGUUCCGUACCUUUUUGACCAUGCAUCCAAACUCCUUGGCUUCUCCGUACAAGACAAGCUGGCACAGGAACUUUCCAAAAAGGAAAAGGGCAUUACUGACUUCCUUGACUCAAAAGGAAUGAAGACUGGUGAAGGUCCAAUACAGCUGGUCUGUGGCAUUGCAAAAUACUUCAAGGAAGACCCUGAACAACUUUUCACCAAGAAAGAGGGUUUUCUUUGGGAUCAAUCCUGAGCGAGGCUCCAAGGCUGAGGUGACCGGGAAGAAACAGACCGGCAUUCCUCCAAAGGUGUCCAGGCUGGUGACUCAGCUUAAGGAGUUCGAAUGCAAGCAGAAGGAAUCUGAAUGGGCGAUUUGAGCUUUUUUCGAAGCGCAAAACAGAACUUUGUGGACUGAAAGUAACACACACAUGCAUACACAAUAUUUGUUUGAAUAGGUGAAUCCAAAAAAAUGGAGUUCUGAAGUAAAACAGUCUUUUACCAUAAUAUAAAUGUUCUUUUACAUGACUGUCCUCAAUAUUGAUUGCACUUGAACCUCUAGAGCUCACCACACACUUUGUGAGUCGAGAGGGUGACUUUCUUCUUCUGCAGGGUCAUUAUUUUGUGAAUACUGUAUGUCCUAAACAAAUCAGUUGUGUCCCUAAGUUCAGUGGAGGGACUUGGGUGAGGAGAUUGAUCUUUGCCACAGCAGGGUUUAAAAUUGGGCUGAGUUUGUCAAUGUGGAGAAUGGGGAGUGGGGAGUUGUAGGACAGUUUCUGCGUCUCCCCAGGGGGGGCUUCUCAUUUUGCACGUGACAGGUGAGCCGACAUCAACAGUGGCAAAUGGUGAUGGUGCCAGGGAUGGCCCGUUGUUUUUUUUUGUUUUUUGUUGUCCCCGAGUCAGUCAUUCGAUUUUUGAAACCAUAGUGAGUCCCAAUCAGAUACUUGAAAAUAUAAAUAUGAAGUAUUUGAAUGAAUAUGAAGUAUUUGAUAUUUUCAAGCAUCAAGUAUUUAUGUCAAGUAUUUGAUAUUUUCAAGCAUCAAGUAUUUAUGUCAAGUAUUUGAUAUUUUCUGUAAUAAAGAUACAGGAAGUUUUUCUGUAAAUUUAAACUUUAAGAAGUACUUUUUAAAGUACUUUUGAAGAAAUAACUAAUAUAAAUUUGAUUACACUGAACCAUAAUAAAAAUGUAGGAAAUGUUAACAUUUAGGUCCAAAUUCUGUAAAUAACUAAAUAUUAUAUCUGAAUAUAUGUAUAUUUUACAGAAAAUUUAAAGGUUUGAUUGAGGACGAACUUGGAGCCAUGUGAUUGAAUCAGGACAUCCCUAGUGGGAUGUUUGUGAAGGCGCUCAAUAGUCCGGAAAAUAUUUUCCAUUGUGAAAAAGUUUUAAAUAAGGCAACUGAACAUAAUGACAAUGCUUGAUAAACUUCAAAGUGGGAGCUCCAUUAUUUUCUAUUGUAUUUUAUGUUUUUGUGCAAAUGUCUCCAUUCAGUUUGUAUGAUAUACAGGUGGUGGAGGGGUUAUGUAAAAAUAAGCACAGCAUAAAUUCUAUGGGUUCCAAUCCCCCAUGUUCAAGUGGAGGGAAGUUGAGUGAUAUUUGUCACUGCUAAACAACUGGUAGAACUGAGUCUGUCAGUGUGGAAUGUGGAGUUGGAGGGGUAGAUUUCUACUUCCUCCUGGAGGGGGUUCCUCAUUUUCCACUGAGAGGCAAACCAGCAACAGCAAUGGCAAAUGCAGUGUUUUAUCGUUUUCCUGAAAUGUCUUUAACUAUGGACGAUUGGCACCAUAACCUCAAUUUCAUGGAUAUGUAUUGCUGCACUAAUGUUUUAUAGAAAACUUGUUGCACUUUUUUUUUUUUUUUUAAUAGAGAAGUUGUAUGUUGUUGGAACGUUAAUGUUUAUGUUUAUUUAAGAAAUUGGAGUAAAUACAUACAACUGUUUGAACAAAACAAAAUAAAUAACUGUUCUCUUUCAA